Capra hircus (goat) is the source of this 261-nucleotide long non-coding RNA. RefSeq lists it as uncharacterized. NCBI's taxonomy places the organism in Eukaryota, Metazoa, Chordata, Mammalia, Artiodactyla, Bovidae. The record is from RefSeq and is a predicted model, not a curated record. The transcript is spliced from 3 exons.
AGCCCUCCCAGGUACCGAGGACACCGAGGACUUCCGGGUUUCUCCCCUGCUUCUCGGUUUCCUCCUCUGUAAGAUGGCGGUAGCCCUGUACCUGUGAAGAUGGAGAUGAGCGUCUAUAGCACACAGACUUACUCCACGUGCAGUGCUCUCUGCUGUUAGGAGGAAGACCCUUUUACUGUUGCAGUGGAUUCCAAUGAAAUACUGACAUUUACAGCAACAUGGAUGGACCUAGAGAUUAUCAUACUAAGUGAGUAAGUCAGA